AUUGAACGCUGGCGGCAUGCUUUACACAUGCAAGUCGAACGGUAACAGGCCGCAAGGUGCUGACGAGUGGCGCACGGGUGUGUAAUGCACCGGAACGUGCCCCGUCGUGGGGGAUAACUCCUCGAAAGAGUAGCUCUUAUCGCACACGAUCUCUGGAUGAAAGCGGGGGACCGUAAGGCCUCGCGCGAUUGGAGCGGCCGAUGUCUGAUUAGGUAGUUGGUGGGGUAAAGGCUCACCAAGCCAACGAUCUGUAGCUGGUCUGAGAGGACAACCAGCCACACUGGAACUGAGACACGGCCCAGACUCCUACGGGAGGCAGCAGUGGGGAAUAUUGGACAAUGGGCGAAAGCCUGAUCCAGCAAUGCCGCGUGCAGGAAGAAGGCCUUCGGGUUGUAAAGUGCUUUUGGACGGAACGAAACGGCGCUGGUUAAUACCCGGGGCUAAUGACGUUACCGUAAGAAUAAGCACCGGCUAACUACGUG
Molecule: ribosomal RNA, 482 nt
Filed under: uncultured bacterium
Lineage: Bacteria
Description: partial 16S ribosomal RNA
Rfam family: Bacterial small subunit ribosomal RNA
Source: RNAcentral